RNAcentral lists this transfer RNA (73 nucleotides) under Ovis aries (sheep). It matches the Rfam family "tRNA". Rfam says of the family: Transfer RNA (tRNA) molecules are approximately 80 nucleotides in length. Their secondary structure includes four short double-helical elements and three loops (D, anti-codon, and T loops). Further hydrogen bonds mediate the characteristic L-shaped molecular structure. tRNAs have two regions of fundamental functional importance: the anti-codon, which is responsible for specific mRNA codon recognition, and the 3' end, to which the tRNAs corresponding amino acid is attached (by aminoacyl-tRNA synthetases). tRNAs cope with the degeneracy of the genetic code in two manners: having more than one tRNA (with a specific anti-codon) for a particular amino acid; and 'wobble' base-pairing, i.e. permitting non-standard base-pairing at the 3rd anti-codon position. The record is from Rfam by way of RNAcentral. Lineage: Eukaryota; Metazoa; Chordata; Mammalia; Artiodactyla; Bovidae.
UCCCUGGCAGUCCAGUGGUUAAGACUCUGCAUUUCUAAUGCAAGGGGUCUGGGUUUCAUCCCUGGUCAGGGAA